GAGUUAGAGGGGACCAGGGGUUUUGUCUGCCUGCCUGCAAAUGUGGGAGUCCCUGGGGGGUGAACCGCGCACCCUGCUGAGCUACAGCCCCUCACACCUCUUAAAUCUAGAACUGCCCUACCCACAUGCACGCACAAUGAUCGCCAUGGCAACACGUGUAUUAGGAACAGCAUAACAAAGGUGGAAAGCACCUCUGUGGUCCACAAACCACAUUCAUGUUCUGAACAACACCGAGGGUUCAGAAGAGCAUGCUUUGCUAUGAUCGUGGCAGCAGUCAGUAGAUGGAAGCCGGAAGAACGACCAUUCUUGGGAAAAGGAUUUUCUUGAUGUCAUUCAGCUAAAAUUCAGAGUGCCGUUCAUUCCCUGACUUUGCCAGCAAUCACCAGUUGCAUUUCUUCUCACACUAGAGCAGGCUGUUUGGCCACAGAUAUGGACGAAACAGUAGUGGUGGAGACCAUUGACACUAGAGUUCCUAACUAGCUGGAAGCUCCCUGAAGAAGAGCUCACAUCUGCUACAUGAUCUGUGUUCUCCCCGGGAUCCCCAGUGCCUGCUCCAGUGCCAGGAGAGACUGACCACAUUACAAGCAACACUGAAAGGGAGCAGCACAAUGUGCUGCCCUCCCCCUGACCUGGUGCUUUUGGCCUCUGCCCUUGACCUUCCCAGCUCCCUGGAAGGCCGCUGCAGUGGUAUCAUCCUUGGGUGUGAACGCUCUGGAAAAGAGGACCUUGCAUGGUGCUGGAGAUGAAGCAAGCACUGAAAAAACCUGUGGUUUUGACAGAGAAUGCACAUCUCUACUAAGAGGAGACUUGGAUCCCUGUUGGCUGAAGGUGGUUGGAUUCCAAGACAGUAAGCACUUUGGAAUAUUUACUAACUAAAGAUCCAUUAAGUGAUUUUCUUCUGGAAACUGUGUUGCCUGUGCCACAGCUCGGAUGCCAAGCUGAUCAAACAACACUGCCUGAACCCUCUCUACAAGAACCAACCUGCUGGGUUGUUAGUACUCUGGCUUGGCAGCCCCAACCCUGUUGCUUACAUCUGCCAUGCUGUUUGCACAGAUUAACUUCCUUAAAUAAUUUUUAAUCAUUUUAAGCAGGUACUUCACUUAACACAAUGAGGACACGUACAACUUGAUUUUGAUUCACACUCUAUUUUGUUCUGGUAGUAAUCAUGUAUAAAAUGGACUUUGAUUUUCAUGCUUAUUUAAUCCUAAUGUGAAUUACAAAUGACUCAUUGUCCUAGGCUGAACAUUUGUUUUUCUCAGAAGAUCCUUAUUUAUGUACCUACUAAGUGUCACUGCACUGUUAGUGUGUGUCCACAUUUAUUAGCGUGUGUGAACUUCGGAGAAGGGAAUUAUCAAAGAUACUAAAAAGUGGCAAAAGUCCAUCAGUUAGUUUUAUUUGGCUAGAUAAAGUCAGUGACUAAUUCAUUUCCCUCCUGAUGAUAUAUAGUUAAUCAUAUGUAGGAAACUGACUUUUCCUCUCCCCCUCUUCCUAGCCCUGCCUGGCAAGAGCCAACCCCUGGUCUGAUGUGCCAACUUCAGAAAAGAUUCUUUUGUUCCAGAUAAACUGAUUCCCAUACACUCAAACUUUUAUUUUAAACUCAGUCAUUGUUACCAAAAAUGUCCCCUCAAAGUCAUUCUGUGUUCACUUACUGACUGGUUCCAAAGAACUUUCUAGAGGAGCACAGUGCAUCAGAAACCAAACAAUCCUCUUUGUCAGCCACAUCAUAGGGACUAUGCCUACUUUUCCUUUCUAAUACUUGGAUUACUGAAUUCUCGAGAAUGGAUGAACUCUGGCACUGCCCCUCAAUCCGUUUUCCCAAAUAUUCUUCCAAAGACAUUUAUUCUAAUAUUUAGAUAUAUGUAAGUGAAAUCGACUAAAUUCCAAUUUUCUAAAGUUUAUAUACAUAUAUAGGACUAAAAUAUGGCAGUGAAGAAGAACUUGAUAAAUUGCUAGAGAGAGGACUAAUUUUGCUUCACAAUUAGUAGCUGAAGCAGGUAAGACACCAUUGCAAAUACUUACCAAAGUGUCUUAUUUGUGCCCCCCAGGGAGAUAGUCCAAGUGAGAUAUCCCUUUUUUUUCAGUAAAGGCUUUUUUUUGUUUGUUUUUUUAAGAUUUAUUUAUCCACGAGAGACAGAGAGAGAGAGAGAG
Canis lupus familiaris (dog) is the source of this 2148-nucleotide long non-coding RNA. RefSeq lists it as uncharacterized. The record is from RefSeq and is a predicted model, not a curated record. NCBI's taxonomy places the organism in Eukaryota, Metazoa, Chordata, Mammalia, Carnivora, Canidae. The transcript has 6 exons.